ACUCCUACGGGAGGCAGCAGUGAGGAAUAUUGGACAAUGGAUGGAAAUCUGAUCCAGCCAUGCCGCGUGCAGGAAGACGGCCCUAUGGGUUGUAAACUGCUUUUGUAUGGGAGCAAUAAGGGCUACGUGUAGUCCGAUGAGAGUACCAUACGAAUAAGCACCGGCUAACUCCGUGCCAGCAGCCGCGGUAAUACGGAGGGUGCAAGCGUUAUCCGGAUUUAUUGGGUUUAAAGGGUGCGUAGGCGGUUUGAUAAGUCAGCGGUGAAAUAUUUCAGCUUAACUGGAAGGGUGCCGUUGAUACUGUCGAGCUUGAAUUUAGUUGCUGUGGGUGGAAUGUGUGGUGUAGCGGUGAAAUGCAUAGAUAUCACACAGAAUAUCGAUUGCGAAGGCAGCUCACAAAGCUAAUAUUGACGCUGAUGCACGAAAGUGAGGGGAUCAAACAGGAUUAGAUACCCUGGUAGUC
Molecule: ribosomal RNA, 463 nt
Filed under: uncultured bacterium
Lineage: Bacteria
Description: bacterial SSU rRNA
Rfam family: Bacterial small subunit ribosomal RNA
Source: RNAcentral